AGAAAUCUUGCAUAUUGCCAGGGAACAAUGCCAGGAGCAAGAACUCCUGGCAAAUUUGCCAGGAGCAAUGCCAGGGAUGCCCUGGCAAAAUGACUUUAGAAAAGGUGGGACCCGAUUCUCAUACUUUAAUUUGAGUAUUCCCAAUUCUACUUCAUUUCCUCUUUCCCUUUCUCUUUCAUCAGAAACACGAUUUUCUUUUUCUUCUCCCAGACCACCGCACCGCUCUCCAUUCACCACACCACCGCCGCCGCGACCACUAUCACCUCCUUCUCCAUCCAUCAUUGUUGCAUCCUGCUCUGUUUUCGAUGUUGAUUCUUCAGUUUAAAGAGCUAUCUGCAUCUCUCUCCAUAAACCCUAAUUGUUGUAAAUUGUAAGUGAAUCAAAGACUGCUGUUUUAGGUAAGAAAAGAGGGUUUUCUUACGCCAUGAAUUUUUUUCGGAGGUGAAAUUGAAGCAUAUCACCAAAAUGCUUGAGAAUGUUGCCGGAUAGAAAGUGAAAGCUGAAGAAAUAGCAACAGUUAAGGUUGGUUUUGAGAGGCCUAAUGGUGUCAGUGAUAGCAAACCAACUCUUAUUGGUUCUGCAAAUAAUGGAAAUAGCACUACUCCUGCUAGCAAGUAAGUAGGGUGGUGUGAAUUGGCAUUAGAGUUUACCGCAAGGUUUUAAAUUUAGGACAUGUUACGUUUUUGAUACUACGAGUCAAAUGAUGUUGAUGCAGCCUGAAAUCGCUGUAACUUACAAACGCGGCGAUAUCAAAAGCCAUGAUGUUGCAGCUCAGAUUGCGGUCAAAUAAUUGUAGCUCAGCUCGAUGUUUGAAUGCUAAGUGUUAUCGUUUCUCUUUUUAGUAACCAAUUGGUUGUGGUGAAGUUCGUUUUGAUUCUAAUUUGAGGUGUUUGUUUAUUUUUGUUGAUUUUUAGGUCUGAGUUCAGACAGACUUUCAAGAAGGAAAGUCAUAGCAAUAAAUUUGUUAAGUUGAGUCGAAAGAGAUCAAGUGGUUCUACUAUGGAAGGUGCUAGCAAGAAACCAAAGCAAGCAACUAUUUUUAUUGUGAUUGAUGAUUCCAUGUUUAAUGAUCAAGACAUGAAUCAAGAAAGAAAUUCUACCAAGAGGAGCUAAGAGAAAAUGGCCACUGAACAAGCCAUCAAUCCCCCUCAGGACAAAACAAAGCCCAAACAAACAUUUGUCGAAGGAGCUUCAGAUUCUCUUGUCGAGAAGAACAAGAAAAAUAUGAAAAAGGCAAAAUUUGCAGAGGGAAACUCCCAAAAAGAUGGAUCAAAUUUUGAAUUCACAUUAUAGUCGAAGAAGGAAGACAGUAUGAAGACCCUAAAAUGGUUCGUCUUAAGAGAAAGAAGCAUAAAAAGAGUCACUCCAGCAAAGGGCCUGAAACUGCCAAUUCUUGUCAUGGGGUUGAAUCAUCUAAGGACACUCCAUCCCAUGCCUCACCAAAUGUUGGGCCAACACCACUCACUUCGACAAAUUCACCAUCGAUGGAUCCGUCAAUAGUCAACGAGCCCAUUGAGGAAAUGGUUGUUGAUAUCCCCAUAAAUAUGGAUGAAGAAAAGAAUCAGGAAGAAUACAAAGGAUAUAUGCCUGAAGGCCACCAAGUUCCAGACCAUGCAGCCACAAAGACUAUUCCUGAGGAGCCUGCUCAAAAAAAUAUAUAAGACAUCAAUCAUCAAGAAUCCUCUAAUUCAGAAUGAGUGUAUUUUAACUAUCGACCCCAAGAGGAUCUUGAAGAAGAGGGAUCCUCAGAGCCUGAAUACAAUAAGGAUAUCCCAACCAAAGCUGCAUCAAACUCUAAGGCAACCUCUGGCACCCUCAUUGAGUCAAUAGGAACUUGAAGAAUUGAAGGCCAAGAAUCCCAUCAAAGCCUUAAAGUUGAUGAUGAGCAGCAUGAGGUUCCCCUUCAACAAAUCCCAAGGCUCUUCGACUACGUUUGGUGGUGAGCCAUCUGGAAACUCCAAGGACAUGCUAAUCCAAGAACUUCAAGCAAAAAUUCUAUAUGUGGACUUGUUCCAAGCUAUCGAACAAGAUCCUACCAUUGUUUAUGAAAUCAAGGCCUUGAUGCAAAAGCUUAACUCUCCAAAUUCAGGAGAUUCUAUUGAUGGUUUUAUUCUGGAGUAUGAUCCCCUCUUGAAACAAGUUGCCAAGGAUUUCUAGAGGCAAAUAUAAACUACAGGCAGGUUGGAUAUGCAAACAAGUGCUCGAAAUCAAGAAAUAAGCAAUGUUGAAGACACCAGGAAACAAAUGAAACCGUUGGAGGAAAAAUCUGAACAAGAUAGCGAGCUAGUGGCCUCUUGUGAUGCCAACAUUUCUAGGUGGCAACAAGAAAUAAAGGAGUUGCAGUCGAAAAUUGAAGCUGAGGAAAAGAAAAAAGCUGAAAUUCAAGAUGCAACUUUGAGCUCACUGCAAUCUCAGUUGGAGGAAAAAGCGAAAGAAGCAAUCCAGCACCUCGACAAUGCCACCAUACUCGAAGCAGAUGUUGAAGAAAUAGUUGCAACAGAAACUCUGAUCAACACAAGGAUGAAAGAUGCCAAAAUUGUGUUCGACUAAUUAAAAGAAAACCUUAGGAUUUAACUCUGUAAUUUUUGGCUUUGUCAUGGAAAAGAACAAGACAAUGUCCAUUUUCUUCUAAGCUUUAUUUGUAACUUAACAAUGUUUGUUGUAAUUUCAAC
This is a long non-coding RNA of Medicago truncatula (barrel medic), 2672 nucleotides long. RefSeq lists it as uncharacterized. Lineage: Eukaryota; Viridiplantae; Streptophyta; Magnoliopsida; Fabales; Fabaceae. The record is from RefSeq and is a predicted model, not a curated record. The transcript is spliced from 6 exons.